GACGAACGCUGGCGGCGUGCUUAACACAUGCAAGUCGAACGGAAAGGCCCUGCUUUUGUGGGGUGCUCGAGUGGCGAACGGGUGAGUAACACGUGAGUAACCUGCCCUUGACUUUGGGAUAACUUCAGGAAACUGGGGCUAAUACCGGAUAGGAGCUCCUGCUGCAUGGUGGGGGUUGGAAAGUUUCGGCGGUUGGGGAUGGACUCGCGUCUUAUCAGCUUGUUGGUGGGGUAGUGGCUUACCAAGGCUUUGACGGGUAGCCGGCCUGAGAGGGUGACCGGCCACAUUGGGACUGAGAUACGGCCCAGCCUCCUACGGGAGGCAGCAGUGGGGAAUAUUGCACAAUGGGCGGGAGCCUGAUGCAGCAACGCCGCGUGCGGGAUGAAGGCCUUCGGGUUGUAAACCGCUUUCGCCUGUGACGAAGCGUGAGUGACGGUAAUGGGUAAAGAAGCACCGGCUAACUACGUG
This 468-nucleotide ribosomal RNA is filed under the name uncultured bacterium. Its description in RNAcentral is "partial 16S ribosomal RNA". It matches the Rfam family "Bacterial small subunit ribosomal RNA", at positions 28 to 507 of the family's 1533-position model. The record is from RNAcentral.